UAGAAUAUAGAGCAUUUUUGAUAAAAAACUUGUGUCUCAUUUGGUAGCAUGAAACUAGCUUUUCCAAAUCCCUCGAUUAAAUUUGAUGUGCCAGAGAUAGUUCCUACAUUUCCCUUAGCUUUGAUUAGUUAUGAAAAAUAUUUCUCACUUUGAAGGAUUGUAUGAGUUGUUGCACUGUCUGCUAAACAUAUAUCCUCCAUAUCCAUUAAAG
RNAcentral lists this long non-coding RNA (211 nucleotides) under Panax ginseng (ginseng). RNAcentral's name for it is "long non-coding RNA (PGIN_LNC015535)". The record is from RNAcentral. Lineage: Eukaryota; Viridiplantae; Streptophyta; Magnoliopsida; Apiales; Araliaceae.